RNAcentral lists this ribosomal RNA (511 nucleotides) under Scheffersomyces shehatae. RNAcentral's name for it is "eukaryotic LSU rRNA". It matches the Rfam family "Eukaryotic large subunit ribosomal RNA", at positions 117 to 646 of the family's 3401-position model. The record is from RNAcentral. Lineage: Eukaryota; Fungi; Ascomycota; Pichiomycetes; Serinales; Debaryomycetaceae.
GAAAUCUGGCACCUUCGGUGUCCGAGUUGUAAUUUGAAGAAGGUAACUUUGGAGUUGGCUCUUGUCUAUGUUCCUUGGAACAGGACGUCACAGAGGGUGAGAAUCCCGUGCGAUGAGAUGUCCAACUCUAUGUAAAGUGCUUUCGAAGAGUCGAGUUGUUUGGGAAUGCAGCUCUAAGUGGGUGGUAAAUUCCAUCUAAAGCUAAAUAUUGGCGAGAGACCGAUAGCGAACAAGUACAGUGAUGGAAAGAUGAAAAGAACUUUGAAAAGAGAGUGAAAAAGUACGUGAAAUUGUUGAAAGGGAAGGGUUUGAGAUCAGACUUGGUAUUUUGUAUGUCUUGCUUUCGGGUGGGGCCUCUGCAGUUUACUGGGCCAGCAUCGGUUUGGACGGUAGGAUAAUGACAUUGGAAUGUGGCACUACUUCGGUGGUGUGUUAUAGACUUUGUUGAUACUGCCUGUCUAGACCGAGGACUGCGUCUUUGACUAGGAUGCUGGCAUAAUGAUCCUAAACC